GGGUUGUGAGGUUAAGCGACUAAGCGUACACGGUGGAUGCCCUGGCAGUCAGAGGCGAUGAAGGACGUGCUAAUCUGCGAAAAGCGUCGGUAAGGUGAUAUGAACCGUUAUAACCGGCGAUGUCCGAAUGGGGAAACCCAGUGCAAUUCGUUGCACUAUCGUUAACUGAAUACAUAGGUUAACGAGGCGAACCGGGGGAACUGAAACAUCUAAGUACCCCGAGGAAAAGAAAUCAACCGAGAUUCCCCCAGUAGCGGCGAGCGAACGGGGAGCAGCCCAGAGUCUGAAUCAGCUUGUGUGUUAGUGGAACGGUCUGGAAAGUCCGACGGUACAGGGUGAUAGUCCCGUACACCAAAAUGCACAGGUUGUGAACUCGAAGAGUAGGGCGGGACACGUGGUAUCCUGUCUGAAUAUGGGGGGACCAUCCUCCAAGGCUAAAUACUCCUGACUGACCGAUAGUGAACCAGUACCGUGAGGGAAAGGCGAAAAGAACCCCGGCGAGGGGAGUGAAAAAGAACCUGAAACCGUGUACGUACAAGCAGUGGGAGCACCUU
RNAcentral lists this ribosomal RNA (554 nucleotides) under Klebsiella variicola. Its description in RNAcentral is "partial 23S ribosomal RNA". It matches the Rfam family "Bacterial large subunit ribosomal RNA", at positions 1 to 585 of the family's 2925-position model. The record is from RNAcentral. Lineage: Bacteria; Pseudomonadati; Pseudomonadota; Gammaproteobacteria; Enterobacterales; Enterobacteriaceae.